Molecule: transfer RNA, 63 nt
Filed under: Opisthotropis kuatunensis (Chinese mountain keelback)
Lineage: Eukaryota; Metazoa; Chordata; Lepidosauria; Squamata; Natricidae
Description: tRNA-Thr
Source: RNAcentral
GCUCAAGUAGCUUACAAUAAAGCAUUGUUUUUGUAAAUCAAAGCCGGACUAAUCCCUAGAGCA